This 301-nucleotide ribosomal RNA is filed under the name uncultured bacterium. RNAcentral describes it as "partial 16S ribosomal RNA". It matches the Rfam family "Bacterial small subunit ribosomal RNA", at positions 509 to 807 of the family's 1533-position model. The record is from RNAcentral.
CAGUAGCCGCGGGAAAACGUAGGUGGCAAGCGUUGUCCGGAAUUAUUGGGCGUAAAGCGCGCGCAGGUGGUUUAAUAAGUCUGAUGUGAAAGCCCACGGCUCAACCGUGGAGGGUCAUUGGAAACUGUUAAACUUGAGUGCAGGAGAGAAAAGUGGAAUUCCUAGUGUAGCGGUGAAAUGCGUAGAGAUUAGGAGGAACACCAGUGGCGAAGGCGGCUUUUUGGCCUGUAACUGACACUGAGGCGCGAAAGCGUGGGGAGCAAACAGGAUUAGAUACCCGAGUAGUCCCUGUCUCUUAUAC